Molecule: ribosomal RNA, 468 nt
Filed under: uncultured bacterium
Lineage: Bacteria
Description: partial 16S ribosomal RNA
Rfam family: Bacterial small subunit ribosomal RNA
Source: RNAcentral
GACGAACGCUGGCGGCGUGCUUAACACAUGCAAGUCGAACGGAAAGGCCCUGCUUUUGUGGGGUGCUCGAGUGGCGAACGGGUGAGUAACACGUGAGUAACCUGCCCUUGACUUUGGGAUAACUUCAGGAAACUGGGGCUAAUACCGGAUAGGAGCUCCUGCUGCAUGGUGGGGGUUGGAAAGUUUCGGCGGUUGGGGAUGGACUCGCGGCUUAUCAGCUUGUUGGUGGGGUAGUGGCUUACCAAGGCUUUGACGGGUAGCCGGCCCGAGAGGGUGACCGGCGACAUGGGGCCUGAGAGACGGCGCAGAGUGCUACGGGAGACAGCAGUGGGGAACAUUGUACAACGGGCGGGCGCGUGAUGCAGCGACGCCGCGUUCGUGAUGACGGCCUUCGGGUUGUAAACCGCUUUCGCUUGUGACGAAGCGUGAGUGACGGUAAUGGGUAAAGAAGCACCGGCUAACUACGUG